This 520-nucleotide ribosomal RNA is filed under the name uncultured bacterium. Its description in RNAcentral is "bacterial SSU rRNA". It matches the Rfam family "Bacterial small subunit ribosomal RNA", at positions 8 to 518 of the family's 1533-position model. The record is from RNAcentral.
AGAGUUGAUCCUGGCUCAGAUUGAACGCUGGCGGCAGGCCUAAUACAUGCAAGUCGAACGGUAACAUGGAAGUAGCAAUACUUUGAUGACGAGUGGCGGACGGGUGAGUAAUAUUGGGAAUCUACCUAUCAGAGGGGGAUAGCAACUGGAAACGGUUGAUAAAACCGCGUACGCUCUGAGGAGGAAAGUAAUGGGAUCGCAAGACCAUUAGCUGAUAGAUGAGCCCAAACGGGAUUAGCUAGUAGGCGGGGUAAGGGCCCACCUAGGCGACGAUCUCUAGCUGGUUUUAGCGGAUGAUCAGCCACAUUGGAACUGAGACACGGUCCAAACUCCUACGGGAGGCAGUAGUAGGGAAUAUUGCACAAUGGAGGGAACUCUGAUGCAGCCAUGCCGCGUUGUGUGAAGAAGGCCUUCGGGUUGUAAAGCACUUUAGUUUUCGAGAAAGGGUGCAAUUCGAACAGGGUUGUAUUCAGAUGUUAGAAAAAGAAUAAGUACCGGCAAACUCCGUGCCAGCCGCUGC